GACGAACGCCGGGCGGCGUGCCUAAUACAUGCAAGUAGGACGCACAGUUUAUACCGUAGCUUGCUACACCAUAGACUGUGAGUUGCGAACGGGUGAGUAACGCGUAGGUAACCUACCUAUUAGAGGGGGAUAACUAUUGGAAACGAUAGCUAAUACCGCAUAACAGUAUGUAACACAUGUUAGAUGCUUGAAAGAUGCAAUUGCAUCGCUAGUAGAUGGACCUGCGUUGUAUUAGCUAGUAGGUAGGGUAAUGGCCUACCUAGGCAACGAUACAUAGCCGACCUGAGAGGGUGAUCGGCCACACUGGGACUGAGACACGGCCCAGACUCCUACGGGAGGCAGCAGUAGGGAAUCUUCGGCAAUGGGGGGAACCCUGACCGAGCAACGCCGCGUGAGUGAAGAAGGUUUUCGGAUCGUAAAGCUCUGUUGUUAAGGAAGAACGAGUGUGAGAAUGGAAAGUUCAUGCUGUGACGGUACUUAACCAGAAAGGGACGGCUAACUACGUGCCAGCAGCCGCGGUAAUACGUAGGUCCCGAGCGUUGUCCGGAUUUAUUGGGCGUAAAGCGAGCGCAGGCGGUUAGAAAAGUCUGAAGUGAAAGGCAGUGGCUCAACCAUUGUAGGCUUUGGAAACUGUUUAACUUGAGUGCAGAAGGGGAGAGUGGAAUUCCAUGUGUAGCGGUGAAAUGCGUAGAUAUAUGGAGGAACACCGGUGGCGAAAGCGGCUCUCUGGUCUGUAACUGACGCUGAGGCUCGAAAGCGUGGGGAGCGAACAGG
Molecule: ribosomal RNA, 774 nt
Filed under: Streptococcus anginosus
Lineage: Bacteria; Bacillati; Bacillota; Bacilli; Lactobacillales; Streptococcaceae
Description: bacterial SSU rRNA
Rfam family: Bacterial small subunit ribosomal RNA
Source: RNAcentral